UGAUUUUUUAUUAUUACUUUAAUUGAGUGUUUGUUAAUAUAUUAUUUUUUUAGUAAUUAUUAUGAAUAAAGUUUUUUUGUGAUAGUUUAUUAGUAUAGAGAUAGGAUUAUACGAUAGAAAUUUAAAGAAAUAUUAUUUUUAUGUACCUUGUGUAUCAGGGUUAAUUAAUUAAAUUUUAAUUAGUUAAUUUUCUCGAAUUAGAAAGAUUUAAUUUUUAAUUUAUUUGAAUGUGUAAUUAUUCUUUAGAAUUAUAAGUUGGAAGUUAAAUGUUAAUUGUUUUCUUAUAUAUCUAGUUUUUUUAGAUAAAAAUUGAAUUUUAUGUUUUUUGAGGUUAUUAAUUUUUAAUAAUUGGUUAUUUUAUAAAGCUUAAAUUGUUUAGGGGAUGAGCUCUGUACAACAUUUCUAUAAUUAAAAUUUUUCUAAGGUUAGUAGGAUUAAAAAUUUCUAUCUUAAAAUUUUGUUAUAAUUAUUUUUAUUAAUUUAUAAUUUUUUACUUAUUUAGGUUUUUUAUUUAAGAUUAUUUAUUAAUUUUUUAAAUUUAGGUAUAAUGAUUAAAUUAGUAUAUUUUUGAUUUUAUAUUAUUUAGUGGGGCGAGGUUGAUUAGAGGAAUUAGGCAAUAAAAUUUUUUCGCCUGUUUAUUAAAAACAUGGUUUUUUGAUUUUUAAUUUAAAAUUUAAUCUGCCCAGUGAGUUUUAAACGGCCGCGGUAUUUUGACCGUGCAAAGGUAGCGUGAUAAUUAGUUUUUUAAUUGAGGACUGGUAUGAAGGAUUGGACGAGAAAAAUUCUGUCUUUGUUUAAUUUUAGUAGAAUUUAAUUUUUAAGUGAAAAAGCUUAAAUAAUUUUAAAGGACGAGAAGACCCUAUAGAGUUUUAAUUAUUAAUAUAUUUAAUAAUUUUUAGGUUUUUGGUUAGAGUUUAAAGAUAAUUUUGAUUGGGGUGAUUGAAGGAUUUUUUAAACUCCUUAAGUUGAAACAUUGAUUUUUGUUUAUUUGAUCUUUUUUAGAGAUUAAGAGACUAAAUUACCUUAGGGAUAACAGCGUGAUUUUUUAAAAAGUUCUUAUUGAAAUAAAAGAUUGCGACCUCGAUGUUGGAUUAAAAUUAAUUUUUGGUGCAGAAGCUAAAAAAUUAAGUCUGUUCGACUUUUAAAAUUUUACAUGAUCUGAGUUUAAAUCGGUGUGAGCCAGGUUGGAUUCUAUCCUUAAUUUUUUUUUAUAUUUUAGUACGAGAGGACCAUUUAUAAUUUAAAUUAUUUAUUACUUUGGCAGAUUUA
This 1269-nucleotide ribosomal RNA is filed under the name Elateroidea sp. BMNH 1274729. Its description in RNAcentral is "16S ribosomal RNA". The stretch from base 1029 to 1186 matches the Rfam family "Archaeal large subunit ribosomal RNA", at positions 2542 to 2701 of the family's 2987-position model. Lineage: Eukaryota; Metazoa; Arthropoda; Insecta; Coleoptera. The record is from RNAcentral.